AUGAUUUUUUGCUACAUCCAUUUUUUCUUGCUUGAACCGCUCCAUUUUUUCCUGGAACCAGAGCUCGACUUUGCUACAAUGCUAGGACGGUGGCUGCCAAGCAUUUUGCUGCAUCGAUUUUUCUGGCUGGAACUAGCAAUUAGUUUUGCUACAUCCAGCCGAAAGCAGAGCUGGAACUGCAACCACGGAAGCUACAACCGGUUAACAAUUUUGCUACAAUGGGCGACGGCGGGCGACAUCGACGAGCUUUUUUUUGCUGGAACCGACACCCUUUUUUGCUACAACUGGAUGACAUUUUUGCUGCUACCGGCAAUCUGA
RNAcentral lists this ribosomal RNA (318 nucleotides) under Triticum aestivum (bread wheat). RNAcentral's name for it is "partial small subunit ribosomal RNA". The record is from RNAcentral. Lineage: Eukaryota; Viridiplantae; Streptophyta; Magnoliopsida; Poales; Poaceae.